RNAcentral lists this ribosomal RNA (1415 nucleotides) under metagenome. RNAcentral describes it as "bacterial SSU rRNA". It matches the Rfam family "Bacterial small subunit ribosomal RNA". The record is from RNAcentral.
AGAGUUUGAUCCUGGCUCAGGAUGAACGCUAGCGACAGGCCUAACACAUGCAAGUCGAGGGGUAACAUGAGUGCUUGCACUUGAUGACGACCGGCGCACGGGUGCGUAACGCGUAUGCAACUUACCUUGUACUGGGGAAUAGCCCGUGGAAACGCGGAUUAAUGUCCCAUAACACUACAAUUUCGCAUGGAAAAGUGGUUAAAGUUCCGACGGUACAAGAUGGGCAUGCGUGACAUUAGCUAGUUGGUGAGGUAAGGGCUCACCAAGGCGACGAUGUCUAGGGGUUCUGAGAGGAAGGUCCCCCACACUGGUACUGAGACACGGACCAGACUCCUACGGGAGGCAGCAGUGAGGAAUAUUGGUCAAUGGGCGCAAGCCUGAACCAGCCAUGUCGCGUGCAGGAAGACUGCCCUACGGGUUGUAAACUGCUUUUGUAUGGGAAGAAACGUUGGUACGUGUACCAAUUUGCCGGUACCAUACGAAUAAGGAUCGGCUAACUCCGUGCCAGCAGCCGCGGUAAUACGGAGGAUCCAAGCGUUAUCCGGAUUUAUUGGGUUUAAAGGGUGCGUAGGCGGUAGAAUAAGUCAGUGGUGAAAUCCUGCAGCUUAACUGUAGAACUGCCAUUGAUACUGUUUUACUUGAGUGUAAUUGAGGUAGGCGGAAUGUGUUGUGUAGCGGUGAAAUGCAUAGAUAUAACACAGAACACCGAUUGCGAAGGCAGCUUACUAAGUUAUAACUGACGCUGAUGCACGAAAGCGUGGGUAGCGAACAGGAUUAGAUACCCUGGUAGUCCACGCCGUAAACGAUGAUUACUCGCUGUAGGCAAUACACCGUCUGUGGCUGAGCGAAAGCAUUAAGUAAUCCACCUGGGGAGUACGUUGGCAACAAUGAAACUCAAAGGAAUUGACGGGGGCCCGCACAAGCGGAGGAACAUGUGGUUUAAUUCGAUGAUACGCGAGGAACCUUACCUGGACUUAAAUGUAGAUUGACGUAUCCAGAGAUGGAUAUUUCUUCGGACAAUUUACAAGGUGCUGCAUGGUUGUCGUCAGCUCGUGCCGUGAGGUGUCGGGUUAAGUCCCAUAACGAGCGCAACCCCUGUUGUUAGUUACCAGCACAUCAUGGUGGGGACUCUAACAAGACUGCCGGUGUAAACCGCGAGGAAGGUGGGGAUGACGUCAAAUCAGCACGGCCCUUACGUCCAGGGCUACACACGUGUUACAAUGGCCGGUACAGAGGGCAGCUACUUGGUGACAAGAUGCGAAUCUCAAAAACCGGUCUCAGUUCGGAUCGAAGUCUGCAACCCGACUUCGUGAAGCUGGAUUCGCUAGUAAUCGCAUAUCAGCCAUGAUGCGGUGAAUACGUUCCCGGGCCUUGUACACACCGCCCGUCAAACCAUGGAAGUCGAGGGUACCUGA